UACGAGGGGGGCAAGCGUUGUUCGGAAUUAUUGGGCGUAAAGGGCGCGUAGGCGGUGCGGUAAGUCACCUGUGAAAACUCUGGGCUCAACCCUGGGAUGCCGGUGGAUACUGUCGGGCUCGAGUCCGGAAGAGGCGAGUGGAAUUCCUGGUGUAGCGGUGAAAUGCGCAGAUAUCAGGAGGAACACCGGUGGCGAAGGCGGCAUCCUGGACCGGCAUUGACGCUGAGGCGCGAAAGCCAGGGGAGCAAACGGG
Molecule: ribosomal RNA, 253 nt
Filed under: uncultured bacterium
Lineage: Bacteria
Description: partial 16S ribosomal RNA
Rfam family: Bacterial small subunit ribosomal RNA
Source: RNAcentral